CAUCAACGAAAAGGCAACACCAACAAAACAACUAUUGAAUCAUAAAAGUUAAAAAACAAAGAUAUCAAAAAACAAACCAACUUCAUUUCAUCUUCGCAACGACUUUGACUCGACACUUAAUUGAUAUUGAUAUAUCAUCGUAUAAAUAUACAGAAUUGGCAAUAAACAAGCUCACUAAACAUACAAGCACUUAACUCUCUCGACUACCCAAAACCAAAACCCGUGCAAUUCCCACAUCAAGAAAAUACCAAAUAAAAUAUCACAACAAAAACAAAAAUAAGCUAAAUAAUAACAUUUAAAA
Drosophila mojavensis is the source of this 301-nucleotide long non-coding RNA. RefSeq lists it as uncharacterized. NCBI's taxonomy places the organism in Eukaryota, Metazoa, Arthropoda, Insecta, Diptera, Drosophilidae. The record is from RefSeq and is a predicted model, not a curated record. The transcript is spliced from 2 exons.